This is a long non-coding RNA of Bactrocera dorsalis (oriental fruit fly), 1905 nucleotides long. RefSeq lists it as uncharacterized. The transcript has 3 exons. NCBI's taxonomy places the organism in Eukaryota, Metazoa, Arthropoda, Insecta, Diptera, Tephritidae. The record is from RefSeq and is a predicted model, not a curated record.
AUAAAAAUAACUUACUAAUUCAAGGUUUUUUAUAGUGAAAAUCAAUGUCAAGUGUGCAACCAAAUUUUUGCAAUAUGCCUACAAAUGUCUGUGUGCAACUUUGCAUCAGCCAAGUGCAUAAUUUGUUGUGCUGCUGAUGGUACUGUUUCUUAGGCCUACGUAUCGACCGGAUAAAGCGUAAACUUUGAAUAUGUACUUAUAUUUUUAAUGCCUUAAUUUACCACAAAAAUAUAUUUUAUUACAUAUGUUAUAAAAAGAAUACAUUAGCUAAAAAAGAAAUCACAACAAAAAUGUGCACCAAGUUUGAUCGGAUUGAAUUCUCCAGACCAUAAAGUCAGUGUAUAAUUUUCAACUAUUGUUAAAAUAUUCGUGUUCAAAUAUAAUUCUCAUAUGAAAGGUGUUUAAUCUGCAAUAACAAAAUAAUUAUAGUAGCAAAAUUAAUGGUCAGUAGAUUCGAGCAAUUCAUAUUUCUCAGAUUAGCAGAAACAUCUCAUUAAGCUCACGUCGACGACAUACGUAUAUAAUGACGAUAAAAUCAACAAAGGUGCUACAAAUAAAUCAUCAAAUCACCAUGUAAAGUCAUAAAUACAGAUAUACACACUUACAUACGUGAAAACUACCCAACUCAUUGGUAAAUCAGUUUGCCAACAAAACAAAAAAAUUCUAAGUCAAUAAGUCACAAUUUAAUAUAAAAAAUGAAAAUUAUGCUUAUUAACAGGGCCAUUCGAUGUAAUAUACAUAUGCAUGCUUAUAUGUUAUUCGCCGUUAAUCAGAUGCAACGCUCAACUCUGUAAAAAAGUAACCUAACCGCAAAACAAUAAAUGCAAUAAAUCAAUUGAGCACAGUAAGACGGCUGAAUUGUUGAUUAUUGUGUUUUCAUAUGCUUAGAAAUAUAAGAACAUAUAAACAAAAAGCAAGAAAACGAUAAAAAAAGUGUCCUAAGCGAAUAGACAUAGUGCUAACGUUGCCAAAACAUUGGAUAGCUUCUAUUAAUUCAGUAUUAUUAUGCGCUCGUUACGUUAAACAUGUGUGUGUUAAAUUUUCGUUCGUUAUCAGUGAUAUAUCUAUAAUUGUCAGUGCGCACCGAUAACACUUUGCGGCUAAAAACGGCUGAAAAUUACGAUUACAUUAUAACGUUGACCAAAUAUCAGUAUUUCAACCAACAUGGACGAAGUAUUUUCAUUACAUUUAGGAAAACUCGACAUAUUUGAUGUCUUCUUCCUCGCUGGCAUUUUAUCUUUGGUUAUACUAUUUUCAAUUUGAAAACGUUAAAAGCACUAACCAAUAUGGACAAAAUAAUAAAUUUACAAUCGUAUACAAAUCGCCAACACCAAACGAAAAUGCGCAGCAAAACUUACAAUUGUGAAAUACCAGGAUGUAAACGUCAAGCCAAAGAGAAAUAGUAAAAAUAAAGAAAACGUCAAAAAAUUUACAGGGAUGCAUGCAGUGUAUUAACAGAUAUGUUCACACACUGAAGGGAGAAUAUUUGAUUUCUUAGGAAAUAAAUAUGUUAAUUUUAGUUCUUAAUGAAAAUUUGUUUUAAAUGUUUUACGCUGUUUAGACGACCAGUUAACAAAUCGUCUUAAAUUCUAAAAUGAGAUGUAAAUGCUCCUAUGGUUUCUUAUUUUGUCCUAAUUAUGUCAUUUUUAUUUAAAAAAUGAGACUGAUGAGUAGAAAAAAAAUCAGAUAAUUCAAAUGUGUUAAUACCAAAGUGUAGUUUUAUGAGUGGCCUAAGCAAAACAAACGAAAUAAAUAUGGGUUGAAUAUAAAGAAUUAUGUUGCACUUAGCUCACAUAUAUAUAAUAUAUAAAAGCAAGUAUUUAUUAAAAAAUAUUUACAAUUCAAACCAUUGUAAGUUUAAAUUUUAAAUAAACAUAAUAAGCAGAUGAUCAUAAUGCAGGAGUU